CCCCAGACUGUCAGAGGGAAUUAAAAGCAUGUGUGUGGUUUGCCUAGCUAUCUGCGAGGUGCUUGUGGGAAGCUUGCUUGCUCUUUGCUCACGAUAAAGACUCCUACUUUGGGGACCCGCUGUGGUUAAGGCCCUGGCUGAUAGGAGCUGGCUUGGUUGUUAUUACAAUUAUCACUCAAAUUACCAGCAUCAUUACAGUUGCAGGCUGAUUCCUUCUCUGCAAGGGGGUUAGGCAAAAAAAAUUAAGGACGGGAUAAAAAAGAUUACUUUUUUUUUUUUAAAUUUCUGUAGCCAAAAUCACCUGACAGCCUAUAUGCAUAUGAAAAACAUGAACAUAAUUGGGGCAUGGUGAUGCUUCUUUCAAGCUUCUGUGAACCACUUGUCCUUCUCAUCAACCCAUCUUUGUUUACCACUUCAGCAUACAAAUGCCAGUCAGUGAGAAGCAAGUAAUAGAAUUAAUGAAAGCACAUCUCUAUACUGUUCACACCCUCUCCUCUAUAUGUUGCACACAAGCCAGUUUGAUGGACAGAAUUAUGCAUGCUAAUGGAACGGUCCUGGCGCAGUCUCUGAGGAGCACAGAAAGAGACGCCCCCGUUGUUAUUCUUAUACCUGACCUGGAGGGCAUUGUCAAGCGGCGCAGAAACAGCUGGCCUUAAAAAGGAGUGCAUAAUCAACUAAAACAAUCAAAGAUAGGCACGUUGGUGUGGCGAUGCAGGUCCCUGAUCAGGCUGCUAGGGCUGGGGGAGAGGCGCCUGCUGCCAUGCCUGUGAAAACACAAGAAAGAGUGGGAAAGCGGGUCAGCGAGUCAGGGUUAUUAAACUCUACUGUGCUAUUGAGUGCCACUGAUAGGAGAAGACUGUGCACUAUUAGAGAGAAAAAAGGUAGAAGAGAAAACAUCGGAAAUCACUUCAAAUAUCUGACCACUGUCAAAUAAGAAAUAAACAUUACUUUGUAUUUGUGUAUAUUCAUGAUUUUUUGUACUACUUAUUUUCAUGUAAUGUUCAAAUAUGGUCAAAAAGUAAAUAUCCAGGAAUUAAAUGCUAAAUACCACUAGACAAUAUCUGUCAACAUCUGCAUCUUUUUAAAUGACAAAUCUCACUGACAAAAAUUAUAUGCAUAUGCUGAUCCUGGUUAAUGUAACACUGGGUCUGAAACAAUUAAACAGAUUAAAUAUU
Molecule: long non-coding RNA, 1175 nt
Organism: Ictalurus punctatus (channel catfish)
Lineage: Eukaryota; Metazoa; Chordata; Actinopteri; Siluriformes; Ictaluridae
Source: Ensembl